This 497-nucleotide ribosomal RNA is filed under the name uncultured bacterium. RNAcentral's name for it is "partial 16S ribosomal RNA". It matches the Rfam family "Bacterial small subunit ribosomal RNA", at positions 28 to 507 of the family's 1533-position model. The record is from RNAcentral.
GAUGAACGCUGGCGGCGUGCCUAAUACAUGCAAGUCGAGCGAACAGACGAGGAGCUUGCUCCUCUGACGUUAGCGGCGGACGGGUGAGUAACACGUGGAUAACCUACCUAUAAGACUGGGAUAACUUCGGGAAACCGGAGCUAAUACCGGAUAAUAUAUUGAACCGCAUGGUUCAAUAGUGAAAGACGGUCUUGCUGUCACUUAUAGAUGGAUCCGCGCUGCAUUAGCUAGUUGGUAAGGUAACGGCUUACCAAGGCAACGAUGCGUAGCCGACCUGAGAGGGUGAUCGGCCACACUGGAACUGAGACACGGUCCAGACUCCUACGGGAGGCAGCAGUAGGGAAUCUUCCGCAAAGGGCGAAAGCCUGACGGAGCAACGCCGCGUGAGUGAUGAAGGUCUUCGGAUCGUAAAACUCUGUUAUUAGGGAAGAACAAAUGUGUAAGUAACUGUGCACGUCUUGACGGUACCUAAUCAGAAAGCCACGGCUAACUACGUG